This 205-nucleotide unclassified non-coding RNA is filed under the name soil metagenome. Its description in RNAcentral is "partial internal transcribed spacer 1". The record is from RNAcentral.
CCGAGUUUACAACUCCCAAACCCCAAUGUGAACGUUACCAAACUGUUGCCUCGGCGGGAUUUCUGCCCCGGGCGCGUCGCAGCCCCGGACCAAGGCGCCCGCCGGAGGACCAAACCUUACAAACUCUUUUUGUAUGUCCCUCUGCGGACUCUUUACAUUUCUGAGCUUUUUCGGCGCUCCUAGCGAGCGUUUCGAAAAUGAAUCA